RNAcentral lists this unclassified non-coding RNA (236 nucleotides) under uncultured fungus. RNAcentral's name for it is "sequence contains ITS1, 5.8S rRNA gene". The stretch from base 188 to 236 matches the Rfam family "5.8S ribosomal RNA", at positions 1 to 49 of the family's 154-position model. Lineage: Eukaryota; Fungi. The record is from RNAcentral.
UUUCCGUAGGUGAACCUGCGGAAGGAUCAUUACAGAGUCCGCCUACUUGUAGGCACCUCUCACCCUUGAAUACAUACCUUUGUUGCUUUGGCGGGCCGCGAUUUUCGCGUUGGCCUUGGCUAACUGUGCCCGCCAGAGGACCCAAACUCUUUUGUUUAGUGAUGUCUGAGUACUAUAUAAUAGUUAAAACUUUCAACAACGGAUCUCUUGGUUCUGGCAUCGAUGAAGAACGCAGC